UCUUAAAGAAAAAUUAUAGUGAAAUUUGUGCACCUCAUAAAAAAUUUAUGGGGGUUUUGUUCCCUUAAACCCCCCCAAACUUUUGUGUACAUCUCAAUUAAAUUAUUAUUGUGGUACCAUUAGUUAAAUUCAAUAUUAUUAAAACUUUUUGGCCUCCUAGUAUUUUUUCGAUAAAGCAGUUUUUAUCGAGUUGAGGCUUAUUUUUUAAUAUGUUUACAUAAAUAUUUUAUGGGGGUUUUGUUCUUUUAAACCCCCCAAAUGUUUGUGUACGUUCCAAUUAUAUUGUCACUGCGCAACCAUUAGUUAAACACAGUGUUUUUAAAAUUUUUUUGCCUCUUUGUAUUUUUUCGAGAAGGCAUUUUUUAUAGAGAUGUGGCUUCUUUUUUAAUAUGGUUCAAAAUAUACCUAAAAAUGUAAAUCAUAAAUAUAUUUUCAUAUUAUUACCAAGUCUCCAUAAUCGUACUUAACCAUAUACAAAUAUGUGGUGGAUUUGACAAAUAUUCAAAAUAUCUCGAUAAAAACUGACUUUUCGAAAAAGUACUAAGAGGCAAAAAAGUCUUAGAAACAACGUGUUAAACUAAUGGUACUACAAUAAUAAUUUAAUUGGAACGUACACAAAAGUUUGGGGGGGUUUAAAGGAACAAAACCCCUAUAAAAUUUUUAUGGAGUGUAAAUUUCACUAUAAUUUUUUCUUAAGAUGCUACUACUGCCAUAAGAAUGCCACAUGUCCAUUUUUAAUAAAAAAUCUCUAAUAGUUUUCGAUAUAUUGGAAAAAAUAAAUUUUCAUUUUGUAACUUCAAAGGGCUGUAACUUUUUUAUGUGCACAUUUGUACUAAGGUAAGUUAGGUUCAGUCGAACUAUUUUUGGUCCCAGAAUAUGUGAUUAAAUUUAUGACCUGUAUUUUUGUUACACCCUGUAUAUAAUGCUUGCCCCCCCCUAUCAAAAUUUCAAAUGACGCUCCUGGGUAAGUAGAAUAGUGUUUUUUAUUAAUGAGUAAUCACAGUUCUUUUGGUUUAUUAUUAUAAAAUACUUUAACUCAUUAACGCCCAAAUUUUUUUUCCAAUUUCAAAAUUUUGUGUAUGCUGGGUGUCCAGAAACUCUACCGACAAACGAAGACAGGAGAUUCUUCAGAUAAUUGUAAGACAAUUUAGCUCAAUUCGCCUAGUCCGAAAAUGCUUCCUAAAGGAUCUUUUUGAAGAUGGCUUCUUGUAAUUAGUUUUUCUUAAAUACCUCCAGAACGCUUCAAUUUAGAAAAACGAAAAUCGGUACGUAUAUUUAUCUUCCAUAGAUAAAUCGAUUCCAUCCAUUUCCAAUUUCUAGUACCGAUCAUAGGCGUCCGUUUUGGGUAGGGCAACGGUUAUUUUAUCACAUAACUUUUUUGUCUUUAACUUUUAAGCAUUUUUGACACUGGAUUAUUAAAUUGUGAGGUAUUCUAGUACUAAAAGGUACUCUUGGUUUAAGUCCGUAGGACACACGGUUUUCUAGAAAAAUUGAAUUGAAAAUUUUUCGUUUUUUGAAUUUGAAUAAAAAUUGAAAAAAUUUUCAAAGAAAACCGUGUAUUUUAUCAACUUAAAGCAAGAGUAACUUUUAGUACUAGAAUACCUCAUAACUUAAUAAUUCAGAGUCAAAAAUGCUUAAAAAUGAAAGACAAAAAUGUUAUGCGAUAAAAUAACCGUUGACCUACCGAAAACGGACGCAUAUGACCCGUACUAGAAAUUCGCAGUUAAUAAAAUCGAUUCAUCUCUGAAAUAUAAAUAAACGUACCAGUUUUCAGGUUUCUAAAUAGUUUUUUUUUGAAAUUUUUUUUGGAAAUUCAAAAAAAGAAAAAUUUUCAAAUCGAUUUUUCUAGAAAACGGUGUAUCCUAUCGACCUAAAACAAGAGUACCUUUUAGUUGUAGAAUAUCUCACAAUUUAAUAAUCCAGAGUCAAAAAUGCUUAAAAAUUAAAGAUAAAAAAGUUAUGCGAUAAAAUAAUUGUUGCCCUACCCAAAACGGACGCCUAUGAGCGGUACUAAAAAUUCGCAAUGCAUGGAGUCGAUUUAUCUCUGGAAAAUAAAUAUGUGUACCAAUUUUCGUGUUUCUCAAUAGAAGCGUUCUGGAGUUAUUUAAGAAAAACUACUUACAAGACGCCAUCUUCAAAGAGCUCCAGCUCCUUUAGGAGGCAUUUUCGGACUAGGUGAAUUGGGUUAAAAUAUCUUAAAAUUAUCUGAGGAAUCUUCUGUAUUCGUUUGUCGGUAGAGUUUCUGGAUACCCUGUAUAAACGAAAAUAAUGUAAACGAAAAUAUUUAAUGAAAAUAUUUUCGUUUAUUUUCUACUUCCGGUUAUUGGAAGUACUUCAGAAGUUGCUUAUAACUUCCUUUUUUUUUUAAUAGGACACCCGGUAUUUUUUUACAUUUUUGGAUUUUUAUUGAUGUCUUCUUUCUUAAAAUAUGAGGUUUUGUAAUAUUAUACGGGUUAGUUUAAAAGAUAAUUACGUUUUUUUUAUUAAUUUCGUAGCAACAUCAUUCACACCCUGUAGGACUGUACUGACUUGAUAUAAAAACUCUAUUUAUGUUCAAAUGAUUUUUAUGAUUUUUAAUAUAUGUAGUUUACUAUUGUUAAAAAUUAUUAAUACGGCGAAAUAUUUAAUUUUAGUUGGUCGAAACUCAGAAUGCGUAUUUCUGAGUUUUCUUAAGUGGAACACCUUGUAUUUAAGUAUUGUAAUGAAAUAAUGUUUGAUUGUACUUUUUUAUUUCUUAAGCAUUUCCUACACCUAACUGCUUUAAUUUGUGAAUUAUUCGUGAUUCUUUAAUUGCAACAAAAAUUACAUAAAAUUUUAAUAGGUUGGCCGUGAAAAUAUUCAAUCAGAAAUAAUUUUUUGAUAAUAAAUACAUAUUAAUUUAAACUGCUCCUUAAUUUAUUAAUAUUAGAGGAGAUACCAAAAUGCCUGCGUUGUUAAGAUUACUCUACCUAGUUGGCUAUGACUUUGACAUUAAACUUACUUAAACAUUUUUGACAUUAUAUUAUUUUUAUAGUUCCAGUUGCUUUGUUACCAUUAGAUACUAAUAUGAAUUUUCUAAUAAGGAACUGAUUAACUCUAAUGGAUGUUAGCGAUCACAUUUUCCAUUGACUCUCUGUUUCUUGCAAUGUGUAUCAGAGAUUGUAUGUCGUUAAUCCCUGUCCAUUGUCUUAUGUUUCGGAGCCAGGACAUUUUCUUGCGUCCUAUUCCUCUCUUGCCUUCAAUUUUACCCUGGAUUGUAAGUUGAAGGAACUGGUAUUUUUCGUUUCGCAUGAUGUGACCCAAAUACGCCGUUUUUCUUUUCUUGAUGUUUUCGAAAAGCUGGCGUUCUUGGUUGUGAGUAGGAAAUGUAAGUAAAUCAAAGAAUUACAACUUAAAAAAAUAAGUAUAUAAAGUCAUAAGAUUUAGAAAUACAUUUCCAUAUUUUAAUCAGACAACAAUAUUGUUUUAGAAAGAAAACAUUGAUUAUGGUGAAAAACUUUACUGGAGAACUUGAACAAGAGGUAAAUCAAUUUUAAAUUAGUGGAAAACUGUUGAUUUGUAUGUAAAGAAGACAAAGACAAGUUUAAAUAAAGACAAGCUAGCUAAUGAAACAGAUGCAGUGUUACAGAUAUGACAAACAUCUAGAAGAUGAAAUCCUGCGUUCUUAAAGAAAAAAGCUAGUUCCAGAAGUAAGCUACCAAUAAUAAACUAGAGAAUGUAUUACAAGAAAGAACAACGCUAAUACUCAACAUAGCUCAAUUGCUUCAGAUAGAAAAAGAGGAGGAAAUGGUACAACACAAGCGUGCCAGAGAAAAUGAAAGGGCAAAAGAGAGACACAAAAAUUCAUUGAUUUAUUAAAUUUAAAAAUUAAAUUAUACAAAGGACAAUUAAAUAAAGAAUAAAAAAAAUGA
RNAcentral lists this long non-coding RNA (3890 nucleotides) under Diabrotica virgifera virgifera (western corn rootworm). RNAcentral describes it as "uncharacterized LOC126893245". The record is from RNAcentral. Lineage: Eukaryota; Metazoa; Arthropoda; Insecta; Coleoptera; Chrysomelidae.